UGUCUGGAUAGCUUAGUGAUCAGAGCAUCUGCCUAAUAAGCAGGACACCUGGGUUCGAAUCCCAGUCCAGCAG
Molecule: non-coding RNA, 73 nt
Organism: Schistocerca nitens (vagrant locust)
Lineage: Eukaryota; Metazoa; Arthropoda; Insecta; Orthoptera; Acrididae
Source: the annotation of a RefSeq genome assembly